This 426-nucleotide ribosomal RNA is filed under the name uncultured prokaryote. RNAcentral describes it as "bacterial SSU rRNA". It matches the Rfam family "Bacterial small subunit ribosomal RNA", at positions 355 to 774 of the family's 1533-position model. The record is from RNAcentral.
UCGAGAAUUUUUCACAAUGGGCGAAAGCCUGAUGGAGCGACGCCGCGUGGGGGAUGAAUGGCUUCGGCCCGUAAACCCCUGUCAUUCGCGAGCAAUGCCUUCCCGAUAACACCGGGACGGUUGAUCGUAGCGAAAGAGGAAGGGACGGCUAACUCUGUGCCAGCAGCCGCGGUAAUACAGAGGUCCCAAGCGGUGUUCGGAUUCACUGGGCGUAAAGGGUGCGUAGGUGGUGAGGUAAGUUCGGUGUGAAAUCUCCGGGCUCAACCCGGAAAAGGCAUUGAAUACUAUCGUGCUAGAGGUUUGGAGGGGGGACUGGAAUUCUCGGUGUAGCAGUGAAAUGCGUAGAUAUCGAGAGGAACACCGGUGGCGAAGGCGAGUCCCUGGACAACACCUGACACUGAGGCACGAAAGCUAGGGGAGCAAACA